UGAUCAUGGCUCAGGAUGAACGUUGGCGGCGUGCCUAACACAUGCAAGUCGAACGCAAAUAGCAAUAUUUGAGUGGCGCACGGGUGAGUAACACGUAGCUUACCUCCCUCCAAGCGUGGGAUAACGGCUCGAAAGAGCUGCUAAUACCGCAUAAGCUCACGAGCUAUAGAGGCUUGCGAGAAAAGGGGCAACUCACUUGGAGACGGGGCUGCGGCCCAUCAGCUAGUUGGCGAGGUAAAGGCUCACCAAGGCGACGACGGGUAGGGGACCUGAGAGGGUGACCCCCCACACUGGGACUGAGACACGGCCCAGACUCCUACGGGAGGCAGCAGUGAGGAAUAUUGCACAAUGGGCGCAAGCCUGAUGCAGCGACGCCGCGUGAGUGAAGAAGGCCUUCGGGUCGUAAAGCUCUUUUCUGCGUGACGAGCAAGGACGGUAGCGCAGGAAUAAGUCUCGGCUAACUACGUGCCAGCAGCCGCGGUAAAACGUAGGAGACAAACGUUAUCCGGAGUUACUGGGCGUAAAGGGCGUGUAGGCGGUUUGUUAAGUCUGGCGUGAAAGCUCUCGGCUAAACCGGGAGAGGUCGUUGGAUACUGGCAAACUUGAGGAUGGUAGAGGCGUGUGGAAUUCCGGGUGUAGUGGUGAAAUGCGUAGAGAUCCGGAGGAACACCAGUGGCGAAGGCGACACGCUGGGCCGUACCUGACGCUAAAGCGCGACAGCAUGGGGAGCAAACGGGAUUAGAAACCCCGGUAGUCCAUGCCGUAAACGAUGUCAGCUAGGUGUUCAAGACGCGCAAGCGGCUGGGGUACCGAAGCAAACGCGAUAAGCUGACCGCCUGGGGAGUACGGUCGCAAGGCUAAAACUCAAAGGAAUUGACGG
Molecule: ribosomal RNA, 880 nt
Filed under: uncultured bacterium
Lineage: Bacteria
Description: bacterial SSU rRNA
Rfam family: Bacterial small subunit ribosomal RNA
Source: RNAcentral